GACGAACGCUGGCGGCGUGCCUAAUACAUGCAAGUCGAACGCAGUUGCGAACGGGUGAGUAACGCGUAGGUAACUGCCUCAUAGCGGGGGAUAACUAUUUGGAACGAUAGCUAAUACCCCAUACUGUGAGCUGGACCUGCGUUGUAUUAGGUAGUUGGUGCGGUAAAGGCUCAACAAGGCGACGAUACAUAGCCGACCUGAGAGGGUGAUCGGCCAAAAUGGGACUGGGACAACGCCCAGACUCCUACGGGAGGGAGCAGUAGGGAAUUUUUGGAAAUGGGCGGAAGUCUUACCGAGGCACGGCGCGUGAGUGAAGAAGGUUUUCGGAGCGGAAAGCUCUGUUGUUAGAGAAGCGGUAACUAAACAGAAAGGGACGGCUAACUACGUGCCAGCAGCCGCGGUAAUAC
Molecule: ribosomal RNA, 407 nt
Filed under: uncultured bacterium
Lineage: Bacteria
Description: partial 16S ribosomal RNA
Rfam family: Bacterial small subunit ribosomal RNA
Source: RNAcentral